CCGCUGGUCCGGGCCCCUCUGGCGAGAGCUUCGGCACUCUUGCGAUGUCGGACCUUAUUC
Molecule: non-coding RNA, 60 nt
Organism: Ensifer sp. Root278
Lineage: Bacteria; Pseudomonadati; Pseudomonadota; Alphaproteobacteria; Hyphomicrobiales; Rhizobiaceae
Source: Rfam